RNAcentral lists this ribosomal RNA (109 nucleotides) under Mastacembelus armatus (zig-zag eel). The record is from RNAcentral. Lineage: Eukaryota; Metazoa; Chordata; Actinopteri; Synbranchiformes; Mastacembelidae.
AUUGGAUCCCACUGAGAGUGGCGGAUCCGGUCAGCUCACAGAAGCUAAGUAGGGUCGGCCCUGGUUAGUACUGGGAUGGGAGACAGCCUUGGAAGACCAGGGGCCAUUA